This 378-nucleotide ribosomal RNA is filed under the name uncultured eukaryote. RNAcentral describes it as "partial 18S ribosomal RNA". It matches the Rfam family "Eukaryotic small subunit ribosomal RNA", at positions 592 to 976 of the family's 1831-position model. The record is from RNAcentral.
CAAUAGCGUAUAUUUAAGUUGUUGCAGUUAAAAAGCUCGUAGUUGGAUUUCGGGUUGGCUUCAGCGGUCUCGCUUUGCGUUUGUACUGCUGCAGCCUACCUUCUUGUCGGGGACGGGCCUUCGGGCUUAAUUGCUUGGGGCCCGGAGUCGACGAUGUUACUUUGAGUAAAUUAGAGUGUUCAAAGCAAGCCUACGCUCUGAAUAUAAUAGCAUGGGAUAACACGACAGGACUCUGGCCUAUCGUGUUGGUCUGUAGGACCAGAGUAAUGAUUAAGAGGGACAGUCGGGGGCAUUCGUAUUCCGUUGUCAGAGGUGAAAUUCUUGGAUUUACGGAAGACGAACAUCUGCGAAAGCAUUUGCCAAGGAUGUUUUCAUUGA